GACGAACGCUGGCGGCGUGCCUAAUACAUGCAAGUCGAGCGGACGGAUGGGAGCUUGCUCCCAGACCGUCAGCGGCGGACGGGUGAGUAACACGUGGGCAACCUGCCUGUAAGACUGGGAUAACUCCGGGAAGCCGGGGCUAAUACCGGAUAACUCUUUCCCUCACAUGAGGGAAAGCUGAAAGAUGGCAUCUCGCUAUCACUUACAGAUGGGCCCGCGGCGCAUUAGCUAGUUGGUGAGGUAACGGCUCACCAAGGCGACGAUGCGUAGCCGACCUGAGAGGGUGAUCGGCCACACUGGGACUGAGACACGGCCCAGACUCCUACGGGAGGCAGCAGUAGGGAAUCUUCCGCAAUGGACGAAAGUCUGACGGAGCAACGCCGCGUGAGUGAUGAAGGUUUUCGGAUCGUAAAACUCUGUUGUCAGGGAAGAACAAGUACCGGAGUAACUGCCGGUACCUUGACGGUACCUGACCAGAAAGCCACGGCUAACUACGUG
RNAcentral lists this ribosomal RNA (498 nucleotides) under uncultured bacterium. Its description in RNAcentral is "partial 16S ribosomal RNA". It matches the Rfam family "Bacterial small subunit ribosomal RNA", at positions 28 to 507 of the family's 1533-position model. The record is from RNAcentral.